RNAcentral lists this ribosomal RNA (504 nucleotides) under uncultured bacterium. RNAcentral describes it as "bacterial SSU rRNA". It matches the Rfam family "Bacterial small subunit ribosomal RNA", at positions 9 to 495 of the family's 1533-position model. The record is from RNAcentral.
GAGUUUGAUCCUGGCUCAGGAUGAACGCUGGCGGCGUGCCUAAUACAUGCAAGUCGAGCGAACAGAUAAGGAGCUUGCUCCUUUGAAGUUAGCGGCGGACGGGUGAGUAACACGUGGGUAACCUACCUAUAAGACUGGGAUAACUUCGGGAAACCGGAGCUAAUACCGGAUAAUAUUUAGAACCGCAUGGUUCUAAAGUGAAAGAUGGUUUUGCUAUCACUUAUAGAUGGACCCGCGCCGUAUUAGCUAGUUGGUAAGGUAACGGCUUACCAAGGCGACGAUACGUAGCCGACCUGAGAGGGUGAUCGGCCACACUGGAACUGAGACACGGUCCAGACUCCUACGGGAGGCAGCAGUAGGGAAUCUUCCGCAAUGGGCGAAAGCCUGACGGAGCAACGCCGCGUGAGUGAUGAAGGGUUUCGGCUCGUAAAACUCUGUUAUUAGGGAAGAACAAAUGUGUAAGUAACUGUGCACAUCUUGGCGGUACCUAAUCAGAAAGCCACG